Hemibagrus wyckioides is the source of this 787-nucleotide long non-coding RNA. RefSeq lists it as uncharacterized. Lineage: Eukaryota; Metazoa; Chordata; Actinopteri; Siluriformes; Bagridae. The transcript has 3 exons. The record is from RefSeq and is a predicted model, not a curated record.
UCCUAUAAAUCUGUUAAUAAAUAAAAACUAAAGAGGUUUUCUCUUCAAUUCUCUCAGUGUGUUCCAACGCCUGGAGAUGACACAUACACAGCGCUGAACCUCAUGACUGUGUCCCCAGAAUAUGACACACUGCAAAAUAUUAAAAGCUCUGCCAGUGACACUUACACCACCCUGAACCCUGCACCCAUGUGCUCUGAUUAUGAUACACUGAGGAAGUGAAACAACCUGCAACCACAGUCUCUGGGAGUAAGUGUGUACUCUAUAAGUGUGUGUUUGUGCAAAAGGAUGUUUGUUUAAGGACUGAAGUUGCAAAAAGAAUUUCUGUCUCAUGUAAAAGUCAUUCAUUUGUGUCCGUUCACUCGGUUCUGUAAUGUUGACUAAAAUUGUUGUUAAUGUCUUUGUAUUUAGUUAUUUAAACAUUUUAAAACUUUGAUGUCAUUUGUUAUUUUUAUGUCUUGUAAACUAGAACAAAAUGAUGAUAAAGUAAGGAAUACACACCUCCCUGUACAGAAAUUCUAUUUUGCCUGAUGUGUUACUGUCCAGUGUUUAAAAUGUUUCUAUGUACAAGAAUAAAAUUGAGCUUAUGGGCGUUUUGGCAGGACAGAAUGAUGUACACAUUUGAAAUGAUAACUGUGCUACCAAGGGGACCAGGGGACACAGGGUGCCAACCCAACACAGGGAACAGUCACACACACACACAUUCACACACUUUGGACAAUUUAUAGAUGCCAAUCAACCUACCACACAUCACUGGACUGUGAGAGAAAUCAGAAUACUAAGAGGAAAA